RNAcentral lists this ribosomal RNA (498 nucleotides) under uncultured bacterium. Its description in RNAcentral is "partial 16S ribosomal RNA". It matches the Rfam family "Bacterial small subunit ribosomal RNA", at positions 30 to 523 of the family's 1533-position model. The record is from RNAcentral.
AUUGAACGCUGGCGGCACGCUUAACACAUGCAAGUCGAACGGUAACAGGUCUUCGGAUGCUGACGAGUGGCGAACGGGUGAGUAAUACAUCGGAACGUGCCCGAUCGUGGGGGAUAACGAAGCGAAAGCUUUGCUAAUACCGCAUAAGAUCUACGGAUGAAAGCAGGGGACCGCAAGGCCUUGCGCGAACGGAGCGGCCGAUGGCAGAUUAGGUAGUUGGUGGGAUAAAAGCUUACCAAGCCGACGAUCUGUAGCUGGUCUGAGAGGACGACCAGCCACACUGGGACUGAGACACGGCCCAGACUCCUACGGGAGGCAGCAGUGGGGAAUUUUGGACAAUGGGCGAAAGCCUGAUCCAGCCAUGCCGCGUGCAGGAUGAAGGCCUUCGGGUUGUAAACUGCUUUUGUACGGAACGAAAAGACUCUGGCUAAUACCUGGGGUCCAUGACGGUACCGUAAGAAUAAGCACCGGCUAACUACGUGCCAGCAGCCGCCGUAA